CUAUCAAAUAUCCAAAAGCCUCAAAAAGAUGUUAGAUGAAACAACAGGAAUAGGAGGGAGUCUAAAAAACCAUGAUAAGUAACUAUACUAGACGGUUAUGUGAGGUCAGUGUCCAUAUGAGAAACUCUGCCAGUUUUUUGCGGUGGACCAACGAAAAUGUUUGCUGGCUGUCUAUUAUAGGAUUAGUUCUUUAGACAAGAAGACAUUUCAAAGGUCAACCAUGUGGUGGGGCCGAACUGGUUCAGCCAUUAGUCUACCAUGGAGUACAUCUAAUAAAUCACAAGUCCUUUACAUGCUGUGUCUGGAUCAACAUGCAAAAGUAAAACCGAAUCAAGUAAAGGGAAGUAAGUGAUGAUAUGCAAACAAUUAUCCCACAGAAUGCGAGGAUGUCAGCUGGUUCAUCAAAGCUGUCCUGAAUUGUGGAGACGUUGAUUCCAAGCGGCCAAUGGCUGACAUACACCUGAAACUGUCAGCCCCAUAA
Molecule: long non-coding RNA, 481 nt
Organism: Dreissena polymorpha
Lineage: Eukaryota; Metazoa; Mollusca; Bivalvia; Myida; Dreissenidae
Exons: 3
Source: RefSeq, a predicted model, not a curated record